AAGUCGUAACAAGGUCUCCGUAGGUGAACCUGCGGAGGGAUCAUUACUGAGUGAGGGCUCACGCCCGACCUCCAACCCUUUGUGAACCAACUCUGUUGCUUCGGGGGCGACCCCGCCGUUUCGGCGACGGCGCCCCCGGAGGUCAUCAAACACUGCAUCUUUGCGUCGGAGUCUUAAAGUAAAUUUAAACAAAACUUUCAACAACGGAUCUCUUGGUUCUG
Molecule: unclassified non-coding RNA, 221 nt
Filed under: air metagenome
Description: partial contains small subunit ribosomal RNA, internal transcribed spacer 1, and 5.8S ribosomal RNA
Rfam family: Eukaryotic small subunit ribosomal RNA (bases 1-46)
Source: RNAcentral